AGGCCAUGUGAGUUGAAAUGCGAUUAACGCAGCAUUGUUAGGAAGGAAGACGUUGCCUCGUGAUUCGUGCCAUCCUAAGGAAAAACCUCUCCUUAAACCCACAGACACAUCAUAGUCCGACUGCUCCCAUUCCAUAAGAUUAUUGACUCUUUGACUACCCUCCGCCCCCUCUCUCCUCUUCAAUCUCCACCUGCUCUGUUCCUCUGUGGACUCAGACACACGCAGGGUGGGAGAGGGAAGGAGGAGAGGGUCAAAUUGAGGAAAUACGUUGAAGGAACUCUGUGUUUGCAGAGGAAUAAACAUAGGGCUCAUACAUACAUGCGUUACUGUCUUCUUCCCAGUCAAACUUCACCCUCCCAUGGCUAUCUAUGGCUUCUCCUCCUCCCCUUCCAGCUACAUAUGCGGGAUGAGUCAUCUUCCCCAGAAGCCCAUCUCUUUCCCAAGGUAUGCUUGCUUCACUGUUUCGAGCUUAGACAUCCGAUGAUAUAUGUCUCGCAGUGUGUGAGCUAAAGUAUGUAAAGAGAGUGGGGAAUGAAGCUAUUGGUCCGUUGAGCAUUUUAUUAGUCGACUCAUCUCAACAGUUAGUUCCCUCCGAGAGGAUUCUCUGCUCUCGGGAGUCGGGAUGUUUUGAUAUGUAUCUUGCUCUGAGAUGGAAUGUGAAGUAUCACUGUUUUGAAUUAGUGAAGCCUUAUAUUUUUUCUCUAACAAUAGUCGUGUACACUGAUGAUACGACAUAUUGAUCAUCGAUCACUAUUUUUGAGAUAUAAGGUUCCGAAA
Punica granatum (pomegranate) is the source of this 777-nucleotide non-coding RNA. Lineage: Eukaryota; Viridiplantae; Streptophyta; Magnoliopsida; Myrtales; Lythraceae. The record is from RefSeq and is a predicted model, not a curated record.